CCAGCAGCCGCGGUAAUUCCAGCUCCAAUAGCGUAUAUUAAAGUGUUGCAGUUAAAAGCUCGUAGUUGAAUUUCGGGAUCUGUCCAUUGGUCGGGCCUCACGGUCCGUACUGGUGUGAUGGGUUCCUACCUUCUGAAUAACCAGCAUGCCAUUUAGUUGGUGCGCUGGGGAAGCAGAGCUAUUACCUUGAAAAAUUAGAGUGCUUAAAGCAGGCUAUUUGCUUGAAUAGAUUAGCAUGGAAUAAUAAAUAGGACGGCAUGGUUCUAUUUUGUUGGUUUCUAGGAUCACCGUAAUGAUUAAUAGGGAUAGUUGGGGGCAUUAGUAUUCAAUUGUCAGAGGUGAAAUUCUUGGAUUUAUUGAAGACUAACUUCUGCGAAAGCAUUUGCCAAGGAUGUUUUCAUUAAUCAAGAACGAAAGUUAGGGGAUCGAAGACGAUCAGAUACCGUCGUAGUCUUAACCAUAAACUAUGCCGACUAGGGAUCGGACGAUGUUAAUUUUUUAAUGACUCGUUCGGCGCCUUACG
RNAcentral lists this ribosomal RNA (523 nucleotides) under uncultured Acaulospora. Its description in RNAcentral is "SSU rRNA". It matches the Rfam family "Eukaryotic small subunit ribosomal RNA", at positions 567 to 1092 of the family's 1831-position model. The record is from RNAcentral. Lineage: Eukaryota; Fungi; Glomeromycota; Glomeromycetes; Diversisporales; Acaulosporaceae.